This 15267-nucleotide long non-coding RNA is filed under the name Gossypium barbadense (sea-island cotton). Its description in RNAcentral is "long non-coding RNA (GBAR_LNC012694)". The record is from RNAcentral. Lineage: Eukaryota; Viridiplantae; Streptophyta; Magnoliopsida; Malvales; Malvaceae.
AAGAAGGAAAUAAAGCAAAUAAAUCACCUUUUCUUUUUUGUAUGAAAACUUCUUGUAUUUUUAGUUUUUUAUUUCUGUCGAUAUAUGCAUAAAAAAACCUCUCCCUACAUCGUUCUGAUUUGGGCUUUUUAUAGCCACUGGGAAUUUGAAAAUAAAUAUUACAAAAUCUGGUUUUAUUCCCUGCCAUAUUAGUUUUGAUUCUGUGUCGUUUUCCUUCCUUUUGCAGGUCUAUACGCGACGAUUGCGACGGAGGCGAGGGCAUGCUGAUUCUGGCCUUUAAUUGCGCCAAAACGAGGCUGAUAUCGGCUGCGAUCAUGAGAGAGCUUGCGGCGCGAACCCUAGCUAGGGUUUCUCAGAAGCUGAAACUCCUUAAGUCAGUUGGGUUAGCUGGGCUGCGUUUGUUUGUUGGGUCAAAAGGGUAUUUUGGGCCUGAUUUGGGUUGUGAGUUUAGGUAUGGGUGUAAUGGGUAUUUGGGUUAUAGUUCACGGGUAGAAUUUUUAGGUUUGAUUUUGGGUUUUAGUUUUUGGGCAGUGGUUAGUGGGUUUGUAUUUUAGGUUCUGUAAGAGGACUUAAAUGGACUGUUUAAUUUUAUUUUUUGUUUAAUUUUUAAUUGUUGUAAGCCGUGGCAAAAUAUAGGUUGUACAGCUGCCCCUGUUUGCUCAUUGAUGUGUAACAGGGAUAGAGCAAAGACUAUAAAAGGACCAAUUUUGCCCGGGCUUGUUGAGUCUUGAGUUCUUGGUCCUCAAUCUGCUCCUUGGAAUGCUGAUGUCCUUGAGAGACGCCAAAUCUGCUUCUUCGAUUUUGUUCCUUAUCAAUACAGAGACGCCAAAUCUGCUAUCUUCAAUCUGCUCUCUGACAAUAUAGAGACGCCAAAUCUACUAUCUUCGAUCUGCUCUCUGACAAUACAGAGACGCCAAAUCUGCUAUCUUCGAUCUACUCUCUGACAAUACAGAGACACCAAAUCUGCGAUCUUCGAUCUGCUCUCUGACAAUACAGAGACGCCAAAUCUGCUAUUUUUGAUCUGCUCUCUGACAAUACAAAGACGCCAAAUCUGCUAUCUUCGAUCUGCUUUCUGACAAUACAGAGACGCCAAAUCUGCUAUCUUCAAUCUGCUCUCUGACAAUACAGAGACACCAAAUCUGCUAUCUUCGAUCUGCUCUCUGACAAUACAGAGACGCCAAAUCUUCUAUCUUCGAUCUGCUCCUUGUAAACGCAAGGAUGCCAAAUCAUCUUGGAUCUGCUUAAAUGCAAAAACAUCCGAAGGUUAGAUCUACUAUGUCUUCGAUCUGCUCUCCGUCGAAUAUGGAGAUGCCAAAUCUGUUUUUUCGAUUUGUUCUCUGGCAAUACAGAGAUGCCAAAUCAUCUUAGAUCUACUUCAGCGUAAACACUUGAAAGUCAGAUCUUCGAUGCUUUAGCCUGUUACCUUACUGCUUAGGGGGUUAAGGCACAUCAAUCUUCAUUGUCCCUUGUAAGACAUAACCUGUAUAAUAUGUAUGAGUUCAUGCCUAAUGAUUAGGAUGCUAUGAUCGAAGUGAGUUAAAUGCUUCUAAUUAAACCUAUUAUAAUGCAAAAUGUUUAUGAAUAUGAUCCCUAUUCCAGACGUCACCACUCAUUCCUUCGUCGAAGUUUAUCCUUAUUUCUCUCGAAGUGUCAUUCCUACUCAACCUAUGGGUUUGUAUCAUUCUUCAAAUGCUAUGACCCACCAAAAAUGUCUGUAAGAUGAUCCUCUCUUAGGAUCAAAUUGUUUGAUUUAUCCAAUCAUCAUUUUGGACUAAAGAGAGAAUUUCCUUAAGUUCUUUCAAACCUCACUUACGUGAAUUCCUCUAACAAUUGUUCUGUUUUAGUUUCUUGUAUUAUAUAGAAAUUUCUAAAGUAAUGAGUAAAACUUCAUUUGAAAAUUAUUUAGUUUAUCUAUCAUUAUUUUAAUGCAACAUACUUUAAGAAUAAUGGAAGAUGAAUUCAAUGUUGAGAAUAAUGAGAUUUGAAUGAAUUUGUCAAAAAUACAAAGGAGAUUAAUCUGAUAGCCUAUCUUUGAGAAUAAAGAGAAUCUAAAGAAGUAAGCAGGACAAAAGUUAGAUACCCUAGAUAUCACCGCUUGAGUGUCUAUACACCAGCUCCAUGAAGACUUUCUUGAGUCCAACAUGUGUUUAAAAGAUCCAAAGUACUUUGUUGAUGCACCGAUAUGCAACGCGCUUCGCUCUUUGUUGAAUCCGAUAUAACAAGAUUAACGUGUGCUCUUCAAAAUUUGAGCUGCCCUUUUGGGUUUUCAACUCAAAACCCCUUUGGUCACAAGGCGCCCUUUGCGGGUUUUCACUUGGCCUCUCCAUUUUUUUUUCGAAAACUCAAGGCACCCUUUGCGGGUUUUCACCCUGAAUUUUUCUCUCCUUUAGACAAAGUACUUUUUGACUGAGUCUGAAUUCACUGGAUUGGAUAAACUCUUCCCAUCCAUUUCUGUUAAGAUCAAUGCACCCCUAGAGAAGGCCUUCUUCAUGACAUAUGGCCCUUCCUAAUUUGGCAUCCAUUUUCCUCUAAAGUCCUUCUGAAUAGGAAGGAUCUUUUUUAGCACAAGAUCCCCCUCGUGGAAUUCUCUUGGUCGCACUUUCUUGUCGUAAGCUCGUAUCAUUCGCUUCUGAUACAUCUGACCAUGACGAAUGGCCCUUAGCCUCUUUUCCUUAAUCAAGUUCAACUGAUCAUAUCGCGAUUGUAUCCAUUCAGCUUCAUCCAACUUUAUCUCUGACAAGACUCGGAGAGACAGUAUUUCCACUUCAAUGGGUAACACUGCUUCCAUCCCAUAAACCAACGAGAAAGGAGUUGCCCCAGUAGAGGUUCUGACGGACGUUCGGUAGGCUAAGAGUGCAAAUGGUAGUUUCCCAUGCCAAUCUCUGUAGGUUUCAGUCAUCUUCCUCACUAUCCUCUUAAUGUUCUUAUUGGCUGCUUCUACUGCCCCAUUCAUUUUUGGGUAAUACGAAGAAGAGUUAUGAUGCUUAAUCUUGAACUGGCUGCACACUUCUGCUAUCAUUCUGUUGUUCAAGUUCAAUGCAUUGUCUGAUAUGAUCCUUUCAGGCAUCUCAUACCGACAAAUGAUCUCUUUCUUCAAGAAUCGACUCACAGCCGACUUAGUAACAUUCGCAUAAAAAGUAGCCUCUACCCACUUCGUGAAGUAAUCAAUGACCACAAAAAUAAAGUGAUGCCCAUUUGAAGCUUUUAGUGAUAUUGGCCCAAUAACAUCCAUGCCCCACAUGGAAAAAGGCCAUAGAGAAGUCAUAACAUGUAGAAGUGAAGGUGGUACAUGAAUCUUGUCUCUAUAAACCUGACAUUUAUGGCAUUUCAUGGCGUAGUUGAUACAAUCCCUUUCCAUAGUAGACCAAUAAUAUCCAAACCUCAUGAUUUGCCUAGCCAUCGUGAAACCAUUAGCGUGCGUCCCACAAACACCCUCGUGAAAUUCUUCCAAGAUUAACUUAGCUUCCACGGCGUCAACACAUCUCAACAGUACUUGGUCUUUUCUUCUUUUGUACAAGAUGUCCCCAUCCAAAACGUAGUCGUAGGCUAAUCUCCUUAAAGUUCGCUUAUCAUUUUCAGUUGCCUGUUCUGGGUAUUUAUGAUCUCUCACAUAUCGCAAUAUAUCCUGAUACCAAGGGUUAUCAUCUUUUUCUUCUUACUCAAUGUUACAAUAGCGAGCUGGAGCCUCAAAGAUACUCAUCUGAAUGGGUCUCAUCUCCUCCUUUUUAUUCGCUUUAAUCAUUGAAGCCAAAGUUGCUAGAGCAUCUGCCACCUUGUUUUCGUCUCGUGGGAUAUAAUUGAAAGCGAUGUCAUCGAACUCCUCAAGUAACCCCAAACCUACCUUUCGAUAAUUGAUCAAUUUAGGAUCCCUUGUCUCCCAUUCACCUCUAAGUUGGUAAAUUACCAAUGCAGAGUCUCCAUAUACUUCCAAGGUUCUUAUUCCUCGCUCUAUAGCCACUCGGAGUCCCAUGAUGCACGCUUCAUAUUCAGCCAUAUUGUUUGUGCAAUCAAAAUCCAACUUGCACGUGAAUGGAUAAUGAUCACAAUUUGGGGAUACCAAGACUGCCCUAAUUCCAUUUCCAACCUCAUUGGAUGCACCGUCAAAAUUUAGCUUCCAUGUACAUUCUUCAAUAGUUGCCACAUACAUCAACUCCUCAUUAGGGAAAUCAAAUUUUAAUGGCUCAUAAUCUUCUAGAGCUCUGCUUGCCAAAAAUUCUGCUAUCUCACUCCCUUUUAUAGCCUUUUGACUCAUAUAAACUACGUCAAAUUGUGAAAGCAAUAUUUGCCACCUUGCCAUUCUUCCAUUUAAUGCUGUUGACUCCAUUAUGUACUUUAAUGGAUCAAGUUUUGAAAUUAGCCAAGUCGUAUGAUAUAACAUAUAUUGCCUCAAUCUUCGAGUCGUUCAGAUUAAAGCACAACACAAUUUCUCAAUUGGCGAAUAUCUCAUCUCACACUCUGUGAAUUUUUUGCUGAGGUAGUAUAUUGCCCUUUCUUUUCUUCCUAACUUGUCAUGUUUGCCAAGCACACAUCCCAUAGAACUACUAAACAUUGAUAAGUACAGAAUUAAUGGUCUAUCUAGACUAGGCAGAAAUAAAACUAGAGCAUUUAACAAGUAUUGCUUGACCUUAUCAAAAGCAUUCUGGCAUUCCUCAUCCCAAGUACCUUGGUUGUGUUUUCUAAGGAGGCGAAAUAUAGGAUCACAUUUCUCGGUUAAUUGUGAAAUAAACCGAGCAAUAUAAUUUAAUCUUCCAAGAAAACCCCGAACUUCCUUCUGAGUACGUGGUGGAGGCAAUUCUCGUAUGGCUCUAACUUUGUCUGAGUCAACUUCUAUUCCCUUUUCACUGACCACACAGCCUAAUAACUUCCCCGACCUAGCUCCGAAGAUGCACUUUGCUGGAUUAAGCUUCAACUGAAAUUUCCUUAAUCUCAGGAACAACUUUCUCAAAACUUCAAUAUGUUCCUCCUCCGUUCGAGAUUUGGCAAUCAUAUCAUCAACAUACACCUCAAUUUCUUUGUGCAUCAUAUCAUGGAAUAAGGUCACCAUAGUCCUUUGGUAUGUUUCCCCUGCAUUCUUCAACCCAAAGGGCAUUACCUUGUAACAGAAUGUGCCCCACAAUGUUAUGAAGAUGGUUUUAUUCAUAUCUUUAGGAUGCAUCUUUAUCUGAUUGUACCCCGAGAAACCAUCCAUGAAGGAGAACAACGAAUAUCCCGCUGUGUUGUCUACCAAAGUGUCUAUGUAUGGCAGAGAGAAAUUAUCUUUUGGGCUAGCUUUGUUCAGAUCUCUGUAAUCAACGCACAUUCGUACCUUUCUAUCCUUUUUAGAGACUGGUACAAUGUUAGCUACCCAUUUAGAGUACUUUACCUAUUGUAAGAAUCCCACAUCGAACUGCUUCUUGACUUCGUCCUUUAUCUUCAAUACGAUGUCUGGCCUCAUUCUUCGCAACUUCUAUUGGACUGGUUUACAAUUCUGUCUUAUUGGAAGACGAUGCACCACGAUAUCAGUAUUUAACCCUAGCAUAUCUUGAUAGGACCAUGCGAAGAUAUCCUUGAACUCAUGUAGCAACUCAAUCAGUCAUUGCUUUGUGUCCUCAGCAAUAUGCGUGCCAAUUUUCACCUCUUUCCCUUUCUCUAGGGCUACAUUCUCUAUUGCCUCUUUCUCAUGGGGCAUAAUUUGUUUCUCCUCCUGUGUUACCAUCCUCAAUAUAUCCAGAGACACACCACAAUCCUGGACAUCUUUAAAAUUUUGAGAUUCCUCUAAACACAUGUAUUGCUCGCGAGAAAAAUCAGGAUUUGUAAUAUCAAUGCUCAUGUCAUUGAUAUCUGGGGACCUGUGAAGUAUAAAGAAUAUACAAAGAAUGAAUGAAUUUAAGAAUGAUUAUUUAUGUGCUAUGAAUGAAAGAAUAAGAAUUGCAAAAGUUUAACGGAAUAUUAGUUGAUAAAAAUGAAACAAUACUCGUUCAAAUUGAUAAAAGUUAUGUUCUAUUAAAAAAUAAUAGAUGAUCGUAAGCCCAUUCCACAAAUGUAAUCCUAUUACUCCCAGGCCCUAGAGUAACAAGAAUGUUUUGAAAAUUACUCUGAAAAAUUCCUAAAGAAUACAGGAAAUUUAUCCGCAGCCUAAUUGUUCAGAGAGCUUCCCGGUUCGUAAGGACGAAUGCCCUCAAGGUUUCCUUGUUCCAAUCCUUCGUCGUGUAUAGCACUAAUCUGAUGACUUUCUUCUAUAAAUAACCCUCUCGAUAUGAAGGUUUGGGAUAUUGAAGGGAAUGUCAUCGGCUCCCACUCCACUUCUCUUCCGUUAAGGUGAGCCUUUCUUCCCUCUUGGCGCUUCUCAACUUCCUUCCUCCUUUGCUUAUGGUUUGACUUGAAGCCCAAACCAAAGCGAUCUCUCUUCUCUUUCAGUUCUAGGAUUUGAGUCCCUCCUUGUAGGUAUUUUCCUAACCCUCUUCCUAGUAAGGCUCCCUUCCCCACCAUCAUUUGUAGAGCCAUCCUCGUGGCUCUUGCUAUCUUUGGCACCGGUAGCUCACUCCCUUCUGAAAUGAAGGUUGCAUUUACAAAUUCUAAAGAGCGAAAGGAACACUCAAUAGACUCUUCAUUCGUCUCGACAUAAGGGGCCUUGCUAGUAACUGCGGCUAUAAUGUCCUCCUCCGCAUUGAUGGUUACUAACCGUCCAUCCGUUACUAACUUUAAUUUCUGGUGCAACGAUGAGGGCACCGCUCUCGCUGAGUGUAUCCACGGCCUCCCUAAUAAAAAAUUGUAGGAGGGCUUGAUAUCCAUCACCAAGAAGUCUACUUUGUAUAUACUCAGUCCAAUUUCCAAAGGGAUGUUAAUCCUUCCUAUCACCUUCCUUUAUGUACCGUCGAAGGCUCUUACCACAUUUUGACAUGUCUUCAUGUGAGAACCGUCAAUGGGUAAUCUGUUCAAUGUAGACAACGGUAGAACAUUCAAGGUCGAUCCAUUAUCGACAAGCACACUUAGGAGUCUGUACCCCUUGCAUCGAGUGGUGAUGUGCAAGGCCUUAGUUGACCCCCUGCCCCCCGGUGGGAUUUCAUCAUCAUGAAAUUAUCUGUACUUAUGUUAUUCACCAAUCGGUCCAGCUUGUUAACGAAUAUGUCAUGGGUGACAUAUGUUUCGUUGAGCACCUUCAUCAAUGCAUCCCGAUGCACCUCAGAACUCAGAAGUAGAGCCAAUACUGAUAUGCAAGCUGGCUACCUACGCAACUGCUCGACCACGCUAUACUCGUUAUGCUUAAGGAACUUUAGAAAUUCCUUAGCCUCCUCCUCCUUUACUGGUUCCUUGACAGGCACUUCAGCCUCUUUCUCCUUCUCCGUACUAACAUUCUUUGUUUUUGUGGACUCCUCUUUAAUGCCCACUGUAUCAUACUGCUUCCUACUCCGUGUAUGGGAACCUUCAAUUUGUACAUCUUUAGACGUACUGGCUAUACUCUCCUCUUCCGGCACUGUCACGUUGCAGUCAUAACUCCAUAGUACCCUCUUGCUAUCCUUAUAAGGGAAAGGCACAGGCUUAUAGAUAAUGACCUUAGGCUCCAUUUGUGUCCCCACUUCAUUAUUCCCCAGCAGGGAAAUAAUAAUCCUUGGCCGGCUAGUUCCUUUCUGUUUAUCCUCCAGCACACAUACUUGUUUUUCACAAGAGCUACCUUCAAAAAUUUGUAGCUCUUUGUUGUCUAUAAAGCCUUGCACCAAGGCCUUGAAUUCUUCACAAUCUUGAACUUCAUGGAACUCACCAUAAUUCCUUGUUUCUCCUCUCUCAUUUUUAGAGGUUAACAUACCUCUCUUCAUAAUCUCCUCCCAAAUCACCUUCAUAGGCAUCCUCACCUUAGUAACAUCUUUCUUCAUUCUCCUCUCACUGGCUUCGCCAAUGGCAUUCACUCCUUGAUUGCUAUGGUUUGGCAAUGGCUUUUCAGUAUUAGGGGUAUUGUCGAACUUCACUACCCCCAUCUUAAUAAGCCUCUCUACGGCCUUCUUAAAAUCGGUAUAGUUUUUGAUCGAAUACUCCAGUAUCAGCAUGGUAUUCGCAUCUGGCAUUUGCGUUGUACCAUUUGGGAUAUGGGGGCUGUAGUGGUUUAGGUGAAAAGGAGAAAUAACAUGUGCAUCGUAUAAGCUUUGAUAAAGCUCACGAUACGUCACGGGGAUAGGUGUGAACUGUAUCCUUUCAGAAUUCUGCCUUGUACCGACUCCUGCCUUUGAGAACUCUGUUGCUCAACCGCGGCUAUUUUAGGUUGACCAACUGUGAUUGCCUUCGUAUUAAAGGUGCUUGUGUUAUUCACUUCACUAUCCUUUCUCCUUGGGGCCAAUCUUUUGGUCGCUUCCCCCUCGAUUUUUCCACCCCUUAUGGCAUUCUCGAUCAUCUCUCCUGCCAUGACUAUAUCCGUAAAGCUUUUAGUGGUGCUCCUAAUCAUGUGAGUGAUGAAUAGAGCCUUUAGAGUGUUGAUGAACAACAUGGUAGUCUCCUUCUCCAACAACGGCGGUUAAACUUGCAUUGCCACCUCUCUCCAUCUCUGUGCAUAUUGCCUAAAAUUUUUAUUAGGCUUUUUCUCCAUGUUUUGCAGCGUGAUCCUAUCUAGAAUCAUGUCAGUCACAUAAUUGUACUACUGCAUGAAGGCCUGUGCAAGAUCCCUGCGUGAACUUAUUCUGGCCCGGUUCAAUUGAUUAUACCACUUGGCUGUUGCUCCAAUUAAACUGUCUUGGAAACAGUGAAUCAACAGUUGAUCAUUAUUCAUAUACCAGUCAUCCUCCUAAAGAACAUCGUAAUGUGGGCUUCUGGGCAAGUAGUCCCGUUGUACUUCUCAAAUUCUAGCAUCUUGAAUUUGUGAGGAAGCACCAAGCCUGGGACCAAGCUUAGAUCUUUGGCAUCAACCCUAUGAUGGCCAUCAGCAUUCUCUAAAGCCUUGAACUUUUCCUCCAACCAUUUGCAAUGUUAUUCCAACUGUCUUGCAGCCUCAGCUCUUAUAUCCUCCUUUUUCAGCCAUGUCUAAGUCAGAAAUGACAGGAUUUGCAGUAUUGUCACCCAAAUUGAAUCCUGAACCAGUUGGGAAGUUUAUGGGGAUCCCAUAUCAACCGAUCCUUGUUGGAGCCUUAUAGUGACAGAUGGCCUCUUAGGAAGUGCCUCGGUUUGUGUAGGCACGUGGGGUGGGGUAAAACCUUAAGGAUGAUCCUCACCAUCCUCGUCAGCAAUUGCCAUGGGAGCCUUUCCCUUAUCAGUGGCCCUCAGAAGUUGAGCCAUCUUAGCCAUCAUGUUCCUUUGUGCCUCCAACAUUUGCUCCCUUAUGUCAUUUUGUAUUUUUUUCAAUUGCUCUUGCAGUUGGUCCUGCAUGUCCUUCUGUAGCUUUUAAAAUCUUUGGUCCAUGUUCUUAGUUUUUGUGUUGCUUCCAGAUUUUCUUUCUCUUGCUCCCUUUCUCCCUUUUAAUUUUAACUAAUUAGGGUCUUUCUAUAAACUUGAAUACAUAUGAUACAAUAAGAUGCUAUGAAAUGCAAAUGCAUGAAUGCAAAAAGAUGUCGAUUCUGAUUCAGUUUCAUUUUAGAAAACGUUAUUUAAGGAACAAAAAUAUUUUCAUAAAACGGAUUACAAAUACGCUUUCACCUAUAGGCCUAAAGUCUUAACCCUAUCAAAUAACAAUGCUAACUCUCGUCCUCUAUCUGAUGAUGACUUAUACAUUAUACUCAGCGUUCUAGCUUGUACUGCCAAAUCCUGCAAGUGUUCAGCAACCUCUCGAAUCUGAACUAAGACCUCUUCCAUGACAUGAUCUCUAUCUCUAACUCGUCCUUGAGAUUGGUGGAGUUCUCCUUUCCAAUGUCCCUCUCGUGCCUCAAGCUGCUCGAUUCGGAGCCUACUAUUAUGCAAAGCUGACUCCAAACUUUCAAGCUUGCUCUCCAAUUCUUUUAUCUUGACCGCGGAGCUACGAAUUCGUUGAAUAUGAAGAGACCGUCCCAGUUCAACCACCUUGGUUUUCAAUUCUUGAUUUUCCUUCUCUAAGGUUUGAUUAUACGACUGCUUCUCUUGAAACUUCUUCUUCCAAUACUCGGCUUUGGCUCUUUCUUCUUGAAUCUCUUGCUACCACUGCUCUGAAGAUCUCCCUAAUCCAACCCUUUUCAACGUUACCUGGGCCUUUUUGUAGUGCAUCUUUAAAUCAUCUCUAUCUUCCUCGAUCUUUCUCUUUUCCUUUUUCACCUUCUCGACUUCCAUCUUUUGAACAUCGACGUCGAGACUUAAGCACAUUUUUUCUCUUCGAGCUUCUCAAUCCUCUUUUCAAGCUCUGAAUUCUUUCUCUCGAACUCUUGCUUCAUAACCUCCAACUCUGAUGGAAUCACUCGUAAGCUCUCCUCUAAUGAUCGAGCCAUCCCCAAAAUCGGCCUAGGGACAUUAUCGUUGACUCUCCUACUAAACCAUCAUUUAUACUCAAGGUUUGACGUCGAGCCUCCGGUCAAGAUCUUCAUACAGAAAGGCUUCUUCCAAGCCUCAAAAAUCUCUGCAUCCUCUUCUUAUAGUGAUCUCCUUUAUAAGAGAAAUCACUCUGAGCUAGACCCUGUGUAACCGAUAUGAACUGCCUCGCUCGGUAUUACCUUAGAACAAGAAAUAGUGCAUAUCCAACAACUCCCCAAAUUCCUAGCAAAGGGACUCAAUCAAAACUGCCACAGCGGUAAAGGAUUUCACUAGGAACCAACCAAAGAGCCUUCCACAUAACGUCUUCCUCUCGAAGAUUCUGAAGAAUGUCUGUCCACCUCUCUUCUGAAAUGUCAUCUCUCCUAGGCAUGUCUACUGCUUCCUUUAAGGGAGAAUAACCCUCAAAGAAUACUCGGUAAGGAACCUUAUCAAGCUUCCAGAAGUGGCUAUGGAGCCAGACUAGCAACAAUUGCGCACAUCCAAUAAAUCUACCCUCGCCGGCCCUCUGACAUGCACUCAAAGAUCUAAAUGUCUCAGCUAGGAUUUUUGGUACCGGUGUAUUCUCCUUACCGACACGAUCGAACAAAUCCACAACCGCCUCAUCUAUGUGCCCCAACGCCUUUGGGAAAAUCACCAUGCCAUAAAUACUCAAAGCUAUGGCGUUGACCCUUUUCUUUACGUCUGGAUGUGUCGAUAUCAAAUCCCUCAAAACGGCCCAUGGAACGUACUUACUAUCACCCUUUUACUGUACACAAGCUACAACCCACUGCUCACUCAUCCCAGUAAUCAUCACCAACUUCUUUGCAAAAGUUGGAAGACUAGCAGGCCUAACAUAAGCCUUGUGACCCUGAAUCCUCGGGCAAUGCAGUAAAGUCGUAUACUCCUCCAAAGUAAGUACAAGAUGAACAUCACCAAAUGUAAAGCAACUAUAAGCAGGGUUCCAGGACUGUACCAUAGCUCGAAAUAAGUGCCUAUCUACUUUGACGUCUAGCAAAUAGGGAAGGUCUCCAUAAUUUUGAUAGAAAAGCUACUUAGCCUCAUCAUCCUAUUGGGUCCACAUGUCUCUCAACUCCUGAAACUCAUUCUGCGUCGAAUUAAUACGGGUGAAGUCCCAUAACUCUGAUGUAUGCCCCUCAGUGACACUAUCUCCUUUCUCUAACUGGGUUUUCUCCGACCAGGUACAGACAGAGGCAUUGUCCUCCAUUUUAUCAAGAUAUUCGUUCCCCAUUACAAAACUUUCUAACUCAGAAAUCGAACCGUGAAUCGAUAAUUUUGAAUGUUGAAUGACAUGCAAUGAUAGCAAAAUAAAAUAGGUCAGUAUCAUAUAUAUAAGAAAUGAUAAACAAGUACUUACAAGGGUAGCUUACUAAAGGCUAUCACUAUUUUCCCUAGGGUAAGCACUUAAAGUUCACUAUAUGAGUUUCAGUUCUAAAGCGAGGGUACCUGAACCAGCAGAUUCAUCGGUCCUCACCCAUUAUAGGCUCAUAUAGACCAAGUUCAGUUCAGGGGAACACAUUUCCCUAUGGCUAUGCGGAGAUUAAAAUUCACGAAGACAUAGGUACAAUAUCCCAGAAGUAAUCCACCAACUUAUGCGGAGGUGAAAACCUCACGAAAGCUUAGUUUCUUACUCCCACUUAAAGGUGUGACCAACGGUCAUGCAAAUGCAAUGUGCGAAAUCAACAUAUGCAGCAAACACUUGUAAAAUGAUCAAUCUUUUAAAAUUUUCCAAACUUUUGACAUUAGGACACAAAAAAUCAAUUUCUUGGCUUGACUCUCUUAUAUGUCCCCAGUGGAGUCGCCAAGCUGUCGAAACCUCCUUUUUAAAAACGAGAUUUUUAAAGACGGAGAGGGUAUUUUAAGAACGGGAGUCGCCACCAACCUUUUAAAGUGUGAUUGGAUCACUUUAUAAAAUGUUUUGGUCUACGAAAUUACGAGAAAAUAGGUUCGGGAGUCGGUUACGCACGAGGAAUGAUUAACACCCUCGUAACGCCCAAAUUGGUACCAAAUUGAAUAAUUUUGUCUUAAUGUCAAAAGUUUCAAAGAAUUUAGAAAUAAGAUCUCUUUAAAAUCGUAAUAAUUUGAGUUUAAAAAAAAUCAAGAUUCUUUAGCUUCGAAAGAAUAUAAACAUCAUAUCCAGCAUGAUUGGACACGAUACUUUUAAACUUUCGUAACUAAAAUCACCUUGUGAUUUUCAAAACUUAUUUAGAAGGAUAUUUUAGGUAUUUAGACAAACGGGAAAUCACAACCCAGCAUGUUAGGGCACUACCUCCAGAAUUCCUAAAUACCAAAAACAUUGCCUUAUUAAAAAAAAUCUUUUUGGAUCGAAUGAAAUAUAGAAGUUCUUUUAAAGUGAUGAUGCAUUUGUCAUAUUACAAAGGACUAAUAUUAAAUAAAUUAACCCACAUGAUACCUAUUUUAAAAUUCCAUGCAAAUAUAAUAUAGAUGAUGAAUACUGGCAUAAAUUACACAAUAUAUAUUGUCAUCUUAUGCAUAUAAUCAUAGAUAACAUAAAAUAUACAUGCAUUAUCGUUAUAUGCAAAAUACGACGUAAAGCAUAAUGAAUACAACAAUAUAAAUUGCAUGAUAUAAAUAUAAUAAUAUCAAAUGCAAAUGUAACUUAAAUUAACAUAAAUAAUUAAUUUCAUUCGAAUAUGUAAAAACGAAAACAAAUAAUAAAAACGAAAACAAAUAAUAUAUAAAAUUUAACCUACUAAACAAUAUCAAAAUAAAAUAAAACCAAAAAUAAAUAAAAAAAUUAUAAUAUAUAAAAUACAAAUCAAAUGAAAUAAAAAUAAAGAUAUUUAAAAAUAUUUAGAAUAAUAUAAAAUAAUAAAAGAGAACCCCUUUUUUUAAAAUAUGGUACAUGCACAAAUCAUAUUAUAAAGUUUAAGAACUUAAUAUACUAAGAAAUAAUGUACUAAAUAAUGAUAUUACACAUAUUUAUAUAAUAAUAAAAAUUUAAAAACCUAUAUAAUUAAUAAGUAAUAAAAUAAUAUAUAUUUUAUAAUAAAAUAGAAGUAACGUAAGGAAUAAUUUAUGGUAAAAUAUAUAAUAUAUAAUAAAUUUAUAAACAAAAUAUAUAUAAUGAUAUAAACUAUAUGAUAGAUCAAAUAUAAAAUAAUAAGAAUGAUAUAUUAAGUAAAUUUACAUAUAAAAAUGUAGUAAAAUAAUUAAUAUAUAUAGUAAAAAUAUAAAAUAAAAUAUAAAUGGAAUAAAUAACAUAUAAUAAAAAUAUAACAUAUAAUAAAAUUUAUAAAAAUGUAUAUAAUAUUAUAAAUAACAUAAAUAAAAUAAUAUAUUAAUAUAUAACUAAUGUUUAUAAAAAAAUAUAUAGUAUUUAAAAUAAAUUGAAUUUAUAAAACAAAAUUUUAAUUUAAUUUUAAAAUUUUAGGGUUAAUUAUAAAUAAAUUUAAAGAUUUUGGGCCAAAUUGAAAGACUCGCUAAAUUCGUAGGGACUCACUGGGCAAUUAGCCUUAAUCCCAAAAACAGCAUCGUUUCAGAAUAGGCCUCAAAGGGGCUGUUAGGACUAAAUUGAAACAGAAAUAAAAGGUUAGGGUCAGAUUUUAAUAAAAAUAAAAUGAAAUUAUAAAUAUAAAAAAUACAGAAGGGUUGAUUGGACAAUUAGCCCUUUUAUUAAAAAAUGCGCGGAUCCUAAUGCUUCGAAACGACGUCGUUUUAGGCUUAUUGGAUUAAGCUAAAACGGCGUCGUUUUACUGAUGUUAUAAAAGUAAAAAAAAAACUUUAAACAUUCAUUUUAAACAUUCAACAGAAAAAAAAAGAGAGCUUCAAAAUUCUCUCAGAGCUCCGGCCAGUGGCUAUCCUGGCUCGUCCCGGAGCACCACUGCCUUCGGCCACACGCGCUUCACGUGCCACCGUCUGAGCCACCGUGCCCGGCGAUUAGGGCUCUAAAAAAUUUCCUCUUUCUCUCACGAAUCAACAGGUAACCCUUAUACUCAUUUCUAACACUAUUUACAUGCAAAGAAAAAAUAACGAUAAAGAAGGAAAUAAAGCAAAUAAAUCACCGUUGCUUUUUGGUAUGAAAACUGCUUGUAUUUUUAGUUUUUUUAUUUCUGUCGAUAUAUGCGUAAAAAAACCUCUCCCUACAUCGUUCUAAUUUGGGCUUUUUAUAGCCACUGGGAAUUUGAAAAUAAAUGUUACAAAAUCUAGUUUUAUUCCCUGCCAUAUUAGUUUUGAUUCUGUGCCGUUUUCCUUCCUUUUGCAGGUCUAAACGCGACGAUUGCGACGGAGGCGAGGGCAUGCUGAUUCAGGACUUUGAUUGCGGCGUAAAACGAGGCUGAUAUCGGCUGCGAUCAUGAGGGAGCUUGCGGCGCGAAUCCUAGCUAGGGUUUCAUAGAAGCUGAAACUCCUUAAGUCAGUUGGGCUAGCUGGGCUGUGUUUGUUUGUUGGGUCAAAAGGGUAUUUUGGGCCUGAUUUGGGUUGUGAGUUUAGGUAUGGGUGUAAUGGGUAUUUGGGUUAUAGUUCACGGGUAGAAUUUUUAGGUUUGAUUUUGGGUUUUAGUUUUUGGGCAGUGGUUAGUGGGUUUGUAUUUUGGGUUCUGUAAAAGGACUUAAAUGGACUGUUUAAUUUUAUUUUUUGUUUAAUUUUUAAUUUUUGUAAGGCCGGGCAAAAUAUAGGUUCUACAGGUGUAACAACCUAUUUUUUAGUGGUGUCAAAAAUAAUGGUUCUGGGACUACAAUUCCAAUGAGAGUCCAUAGAUAUAUUUAAUUAAUAUUUAUGAUUUAAAUAUAGUAUAAUAAUGAUUAGUGAUUUAAUAGAUUUAAUUAAUUGGUAAGUUAGUCAAGGUACCAACGGUGCAUACUGAAAAUCAAGUGGUUUUGGAGAAUGAGGUAUCAGGACCUCGUUUUUGUAAAC